This is a long non-coding RNA of Gallus gallus (chicken), 1584 nucleotides long. NCBI's taxonomy places the organism in Eukaryota, Metazoa, Chordata, Aves, Galliformes, Phasianidae. The record is from Ensembl.
CGCGGGAGAACGGGCUCCGUGCAGGGCCUGGCGGCAGCGGCACCCACCUGCUACCGGCGGCUGCCCGACCAGCGGCUUCUGGGCGGGAGGUCUCCUGACACGGGGCCUGAGGAUGCGCCUCGCCUCCCCCGUAACGUUUGACCGGGAGGACUGCGAGGUGGCCGUAGUCAGCACGAGGGGUAAAUGGGAGCUGCUUAUGACAAUAUGUGUGUGUGUUUGUGUGUUCAGAUCUGCAAAUUAUGGCACCUCCAAUAAACAGCAUUAGGGAAUAUAUAUAUAUAUUUAAGACCAGUCCUUGGACUGGUCAAGAAAAUGGUAAGAAGCUGAGUUUGGAGCGUCCUUGCAGCCAGAAGAAAGUAAGUCAUAGGAAGUGCAGGGGGUAUCUGUACCUGCUGCCCUCCUCACUCUGCAGGCUGCAGGCCCAGCUGGCUACAGCCACAGCUGCUUUCCCCUGCCAUCCCCUGGUGCUGCAGGGACAGGCCUGUGGGCCUGGCACAGUCCAGGGGAUGGUGGAUGUGUCCCACGUGAGUUUCUCACGUUGGUGAAGUCACAUCCUUAGGAAAAGCUUGGGAGGCGGCUCACCUGUGUUCCAAAAGCUCUGGAGCUGCGAGCUCACUGCAUUGAAAUGAGUUGUGUGCUGCUUGUCCGCCACACGGAGCAUUUACGACCCAGUAAUUCAAUUCUUUCCCCCACAUAAGAUGAGGUUAUCAGGCAAUGACAUCUCUGCAGGCUCUUGGUCCUUAAGAAAAGUGCCAUUUUUUGCACAGCUCAUGACAACCUCUAAAUAUUGCCUUAAUUCACUGCAGCUUCUGAGCUGGAGGUGUUGCAAUUUGAUCAAUAGUUCCUUUUCUGAGGUUUGGUGCUCAUAGAUUGUAUCAGUUUUAAUGUUUCUGCUUUUUAUGCUGCAAAAUACGAAGCAAUUUUUAAAAUUAAUGCUCCCUAAGAGUGUAUUGCGCAAAAAGGCGAUAAACAAUGAAGAUGAUAUAAUGAGGUCAAAAACGGCUUACAAAUUACUUUUCUGGGAAUAAGCAGAAAUUCUCUCUUCUUAGCCCAGUGUCUUUGUGUAAGGUUGUUAACAGCAGGACUUUGAUCGUCUUAAGGAAAGUUUCCUGUUGCACUGCUGGGCCGGAGUGCUGGACCAGUUCCUUUCCCCUUCCAAAAUAUAGACUUUCUUAUAUUAUUUGUAGAUAUGUAGAAGAAGCAGCUUCUUCUACACUGCUUGUUUGUUAUUCUGUUGUUGUUGUUGUUGUUGUUUGCUUUUAUGUAUGCUGCACUAUUCAUCACCAGAUAACUUCCAUUAAAGGCACCAAUUGCUCAUACUCUUUGAAAGUAUUUGCUUCAGUGUAGCACUAAAAACAGUAAUAGAAUUUGUUUUGUUCGAGUCUGUUUCCCUGGUAGACACAAUGGAUCCAAAAAGGUGUUGAAAAGAAUUUUUAUUUUUUACCCAGUUUACCUCAAAUCAUGAUAAGAUGACAAAGGAUCGUCUUCCAUUAAAUUCCUCCCCUUUUCUCCCUUCUUCCCCUCACCUCUCUUCCCCUCCUCCUCAAAAAGAAAAAACAAAGUGCAAAAAAAAAAAAAGAACCC